This 138-nucleotide unclassified non-coding RNA is filed under the name soil metagenome. Its description in RNAcentral is "partial internal transcribed spacer 1". The record is from RNAcentral.
UCAAAACAGCGGACUUCGGUCCUUGCUGCACCCUUGUCUUUUGCGCACCGUAUUGUUUCCUCGGCGGGCUUGCCUGCCGGUUGGACAUUAUCAAACCUUUUUGUAGUUGCAAUCAGCGUCAGAAAAUAAUAAUAAUUA